CAUAAUCUAUAAGGAGUCCAAGUGAGCCCAAGGGUGUCAUACCAGCUGGGGGCCUUUUGCUUCAAAACCCCUCCCCAAUUAUGACCAACCAGAUCCCCAGGACAACUGGCUGUAUCCUGGAUUUUCGGCAGGUUCAUUAACAGAUGACCCCAGGCCCUGAUCAAAACACCAGAUCAGCCUCUGCUUUGGACAUUGCUUGCCACUCUCGUCCAUGCCUUUCCUUUUUUUUCCUUCUUAAUUUCUUUCCCCUCAUCCUCCCCCCCCCCUUUUUCUUCUGUCCCUGAGGAGAAUAGCUGGAGUAAGGCUCACAGCUCUGAGCACCUAAGGGAGCCUCUCUUCCUGGGAGUAACUGAACUAGAAGAGGCCCCCAGAGAACAGAACAACAAGGAGACAUUUCGGGGGUAUGAUCCCUCCUGACACCCUUCAAGUCACACUAAACUCAACCGUCUCACUCCAUCCAGACACCAGGUAUUCUCCAUCACUUUGCUUCACGGCAGUCUGCACGGCCACACUGUAUUCUGUGCGGGGGCUCAGGAACCAGUGACCCCUCACCGUCAUGGGCAGGGGCACUGCUUUUGCCACCAGUUUUGUGGGGACAUCCUAUAGGACAUAGUGAGAAGAAGGUGAGUACCCAGGAGUCGGGCUAGCUGGUCUACCCACUCUGCAUCCUCCAACAUACCUGAACUGUCCCUCCCACUCACCCUCCCCUGGAGGUCUCACAUAAGGAGGGCCCAAGGCAGGGAAGACUCACACCACUACCACUCCCCCCCCCAAAAGAUCGUUUUCCCACUCAUACUGAGAGGAAUCACUAAUGCGGUUCAGAUUCUCCCCAGCACCCCUAACCCCCAAAUUCCCCUGACAUCCAGUUUUCUUGAGAGCUAGAGAAAAAUGACUGGUAGAGGGAGGGCCCUAAGACUGGGGGCGGUGAGGACUUCUUUUUUUGAGGAAGACUUCUCCAAGAGCACUCAGCACUGCAGGGCUGUCUCCACGGCAACAGCAAAUGCUAAGAAGCCCAGGAGGAAAGAAAAAAUGACUUAUGUUGGGGGGGGAGUGGAGGGAUGGCAGUGGUGGUGGUGGUGAUGGUGGUGAUGUUAAGCAUUCUGUUGCUGUGGCAACUGGCCUGCCAAAAGACACCCAGAUCCAAGGAAACAGUUCCAAGGGGGGGAUGGUGAGUAACCUGUUUUGAUGUUCUGUCAUCAUGUGGACCAGUUCUUUCCCACCUCCCUCUUCUCCUUUCCUUUUCCCCCAGUUUGGGAAAGUGGAAACUUUCCUUCUCUGCUCUCCACACUCCUCAGAGUGGAGGUAUCCCCCUGAAGAAGAGAGAUGCCUCCCAGGUGAAGGAAAAAGUGGGUAACAACAACAUCUUCCCAGACAAACUGUGGUAGAGAGUAGAGAAUAGAGAUAGUCUGAGGAUGAAACUUGCCACUGAUCAAGAGCUGGGGUAGAAGAUAGGAUCAUACCCUUGGCCAUGGGAAAUCUCCCAGCCAACACCCCAAGGUGGUUCUAGAAUCUAAGGUGGCCACGGGAUUUGAACUUGAGACUUGGGCCCCCAGGUGUUAUAAUCCUUCAUCUUACCACUCCUAGUUCUUCUUGGCCACCCUGAAGCCUCAAGAAUCGUUCAAGUGGUAUUACUGUGAGUUGUUUGAGUUGUGGGUAUGGUCUAUGUGUACGUGAAGGGGGUGGGGGUGUUUGAUCACAUUGUUUCUCCCCCAACGUGCCACCUACUCACCCUAUGCUUGAAUUUGUUGGAGUUCUUAUUCUCCUUCUUGUUGAGGUCAAUGAAGUAAUGAGUGACUCUCUCUAGGUCACUGCCCUCCAUGGCCCAGGAGAUGCGAAAGGAGUCACAGGUGAUGUUAUUGAUCUCAAUGCUGUGUGGGGUAGACAGCAGCAUCUCCAUGCUCUCCUCUGGCUCAGCUCCUAGGGGAAUGGCGGUGGGGCAGUCAAUGCUAUUUCCCUAUGGUUUCCCCAAGACCAUUUCUUCCUAUCAUCUUCCCCAGCCCACUCCACCUACACACAUAUGGAAACCUAUGUUCAGAGAGGGCAUGCACUGCAGCUAGGCUAAGGUCUCCACAUUGCCAGAUCUGAUCUCAGAGGAGCAUUCAGGGGGAACUAGGGUUAUUUUAGAGUGGGGAGACUAUCCAUAUCCCCCCCCGGGAGGUGGGAAGGGUGCUGUCUCCCAUUCUGCAGCCCCCUGCAGUUCUCAGCUCUCUGCAGAGGGGAAGGCGUAGCAGACGGCACCUGGCAGGUGGCAGAAGCAAUGAAAAUGUUGAAGCGCAGGGCAGGACAGAUUCAGAGCAGAUGGAGCUGGGGAGGAAGGGGGGUGCCUCUGGGCUAGUAGCAGGCAUCAAAAAAGAAAGGGACAAUAAUAGGGGAGGGGAAGGGACGAAGAAAAGAGAAAAUGAAGGGGGAUAGCAAGAGGUCACUUUUAAGGACCAUAAUAAGGCAAAAGGGAAUAGAUUCAGAGAUCCAGUUGUCACAGGGAUCUUGGAGAGAUGGGGUAUAUAUUCUCUCUUUUAUCUCUUUUUAAAAAGAGACUCAAAACUCAAUUAGGUCAGUAGUACCCCACCCCUUACAGGUAACACAGGUGUGUACAGGUGGAGAACAGGUAUGUACAGAAGUAGUUCAUGGAUAGGAUGUAGGUGUCAUAUUCUAAUAUCACAAGCCAUGGCUUUCCUCCUAUGCUGUUAAUAACAGUCAGCCCUUGGAUUUCUCUGCCUUUAUUCUCUCCCCUCCAUCUUUUGGAAUCUCCAUUUAUUUCAUGCUAUCACAAUAUUUUUCUCCUUCCUUCUUACUUGUCCUGUGAGUGCCUGAUGCAUAGCAUCACCUGUUUUGUUUCCCUUCCCCACAAAAACUCCUUUACCCUUCUCUCUGAUCCUAUAUCAGAGUUGUAUCAAAAGAUAAUCAUGACCAUUUAUAUCUUAAUCAGGCUUGCAAAGAACAAUCUCCUGACGACAACUGAGAGUUAGGUGGCAUGAGUAUUAUUAAGUCCAUUUUACAGAGGUGAAAACUGAGACUGGGAGAAAUUAAGGGACUUGCUCAUAAUCACCAGAGGAGAUUUUUAUCUGAGGCAGAUCUUUUGGCCUCCGGUCAAAACUCAGGUCUUUAGACUUAAGAGCUCAUGUGCUAUUUAUACAUUAUGCCACAACUUGUCCUGCCACACCAGGAGUUGUUUUUGUUUUUGUUUUUGUUUUGCUUUCCCUCCUGGUUUCAGUUAUGCCCAUUAGCACCAGUACCAGCAUGAGUGGUUUUAACUAAAAGGGGCCAAAGAGGAAAGAAGAUGACUCAGCCAUGUAUCAAAGAUACCACCCAUUGGUGUGGUCUCUUCAGGCAUGGGACUAGUAGAAGUAAAACGACCAGGAUACCAAGUUAGAGACUCCCCUUGAAGAGAAUGUCUCUUCUCUUUGAGAAGAGGUCUAAUCUUGUUCAGGGAAAGAGGAGGAAGUCUGGAGAAGAGUGAUCAGAAGGGACCUGGUCCCUGGGAUCUCUCUCCCCUUUCUUUUCCUUUUACAACUCUUUCCCAUUCCAUCUCUUCUCUCUUUUCCUCUCCAUCACAUACUGACCUAUGGUAUAGUUGAAAGAAUUUAGGACCUGUAGUGAGGAAAGUCCUAGGCUGAAAUCCUACCUCUGAUGUUUACUAGCUAUGUGACUUGGGCAAGUCACUUAACCUUGGAGUCUCCAUUUCCUCAUCUGGGAAAUGGGACAAUAAUGUCUACUACACAUAUUUAUUAUACAGAACAACUUAGCUAAUUUCAUUAAGCACACUUUCAAGUGCUAUAUAAUUUUUGGUUAUUUUUCUUAUCUGAUUCCUUUUUUUUUUAACCCUUAUCUUUCUAAACCCUUACACUACUAAGUUUUAAUUCUAAAAUAGGAGUGUGGUGAGAGCUAGAUGAAUGGGGCUAAUUGACUUGCUCAGGGUCACACAACUAGAAAGUAUCUGAGGUCAGAUUUGAACCUAUGUGCUCCUGACUCUAGGUCUGUUGCUCUAUCCGAUGUGUGACCUAGCCCUACUUGUUCACUUUCACUCUUUCAUCUCUUUCCUUAACUCUGUCCACAGCCUGGGUCCCUACAGCAGAAUACCUGGCUUUUCACUGAAUGGAAUCUUCUUGUCUCCUCUAUCCAUUUUCCAGUGAGUAAGGGGGAUCUGUGAUGGGUUUAGGAAGCAGAUUUUUCUUUGUACCUACCCAAGAAGUAGGUGCUUUUGUUUCUAGCUAAUAGAAGUUCAACUUACAUUUUCCCCUUCGGUUAAGACUGCUCAGAGCCUGGCACCCCCACAUUUAAUUGUGUGAGACGUUUGGGUGACAGGUACAAUGUAUGCAUAUGAGUGGGGGUAGGAUUGAGCCUUUAAUGGUGUCAUUUCUGUAUUGUGCCUUCGUUUUUCUACCUUAAAAUCCUUCCUUGCCACUCAUGAAGCUUAAUCAGCUCUCCCUGUACCAUGCCAGCCUUUAGCACAGUACCUGGCACACAGAAGAGGCUUAAUAAGUGUUUAUUAACCAACUGACAGCAUCAUUUGAAUGUCUCCCUAGAGUGCAUGGCAUAUGAGCAUGGGAAGGGAUAUAUAGAAGUGAGGAGCCUUUGGCAAAUAAACGGUCAAAUGCCACCCAAGAAAAACCAACCAUAGGAUUACAGAACAGAAUCUGCUGCCCUGGGAGAACCCCUAGGUGAAAGAGUCACCUAACAAAUCACUGAGACAUGACUGGCAAUACCAAGCAAACCUCUCUACCUUUGCCAUGUCCACCUCAAACUCACAGAGAUGGCUGUAAGCUUCAGCCUAGCCUUGACAUAUACCCAAGAGGCCCCUUUGCCAAUUUAUAUGGAGGAGGCAGGAAUUCCUAGAUCGAUGCCCAUACCCCAUCAGGUUCUAUUGAAGGGAAUAGCUGCUGUCUGAUGAGGGAGGGUCUGGGGAAUGGGUUCUUCAAUGCCUUGGCUACUGUCCCUCUCCUAAUAAUUUUCGGUACUCUCCCUAUGAUCUGGGAAAGCUAAGAAGCCUCCACCAUCCUUGCUCUAGGAGUAUGAAGAUGGCUGAUACUGAGAGAGCCAUGAAGCUAGAGCUCCGGUGGACAGAGGGUGGGGGUGAACCAUUCCAUCUCCUCCGCCCAGAUGAGUUGGGGAAGGGCAGGGUUUGAGGGACAGGCUGAGGCAACACCCUAGAGAAACACCUCCACUCUCAUGUACACAUACAUACAGACAUACGUUCACACACCCACAUAUCGGCACAUUCACACAUAUACACUGCCCCCCACCUACACAGGAGUAUAUCCACCCCCAUGUAUACCCCUUCCCCCACAGCCUGAGCAUACCAACUCACAUACUUCCACAGGGCCACUCCAGCUCCCCACAAACACAAUCUUCUAUGCAUUCAUAUGCUUUUUGCCUGAUUACCUUAUAUUUGAAAAGUCCCUCACGCUUAUCCCACCCACAUAGCCAUCAUAUAUGUAGAUGUCCUCAUGUAUGUACAACUCAUAUGUACUCCUACUCACAAGUCAUAGUCAGGGGUAAGCGCAUACAGUAGGAACAGACACAUGCCUCCACCUCCACAAGAAACCAAUGAGUGCCCACAUCCACACAGGGAUGCUCUCUCAGGGAGGGUCCUCCCUCGGCACACGAGCACAUGAAUGUGUGCAUGCCUAACUUGCCUCUGGAUAGGCUUUAGCAAUGUACUGUGUGUCAAGGCUGAAGCAAUCCUAGGCGGAAUAUAUACCCCCAGAGACCUGCCUAUAACAACACCGUCACACAUGAACGUUUAUUCUCUCUCCCACCUACCAACCACUUUCUUGCUCUAUGGUUAUGCUUCCCCAUAUGGAGAGGCAGUGGGUGGGGGACCCCCUCACAUGCAUGUGUGUGCAUGCAUGACACAUACAACAUACCCACGCCAUGCCCAUUUCGCUGAAGGCGUGCACAUGCCAACACAUACCAAAGUAGCCCUCCUCCAAUAAACUGCUCCCAGGCUCUUCACAUGGACACUCACAUGGACACAGGAACUCAUAGACUGGUACACAUGGUCACACAGGUUAAAACACAUACCCAGCACUGCCACCCCCCUCCUACCCUGCACUCAUAUUUCUCUGUGCAUCUAGGGAGAUGCACCCCCCCCUCAACAUGCACACAUGCUGCGCACACAGGCACCCAUAUUUCUGCCACGCACAUACCCACGAGCAGCCCAUAUGCCACCAGAAACCUUUCCUCCUAACCUGCUGUGUCCCCAUUGGCACUGUUCACUGCAGCAGGGCUGGUCACGAGGUGACUGAGCAGUAUUGUGCCCCAGAGCCUGAGUCCAGUUCUCACUUUUACCAAAGGCCCCCUGGGAAGGGGAGGGGGCAUGCCAUUUGUCCUACACGCAUGCCAGGGUGAGUGUCCAGUGCAGGGCCAAGAGGACAGGAGUCUGCAUCUCCUAACUGUCCCCCCUCCAUUAUCCCAGUGCUUGCAAUGCCCCCACCCCCCACCCCACUCACCCCGGGGGCAUCAGGUUGCUCCUGGGAGGGAGAGUAGCUUACCUGGCUCCACCAGGUACUGCAGAAGAAGACCUGACAAGGACGGGGACCACUGUCCGGACCUGCUCCCCUGCGGGGCUGGAGCCAGCAGAAGGUACUGCACUCCUGGCUUUACAAGCAGCAGCACUGGCUUGCUGGGCUCUUGGCAGCUGAGGACCUUUCUUCCAUGCGGCUUCUUCCCCUGGCAGCGCCUGUCUUCUCUCUCUCUCUCUCUCUCUCUCUCUCUCUCUCUCUCUCUCUCUCUCUCUCUCUCUCUCUCUCUCUCUCUCUCAGGCACACACUGUCUGCCUGCUCUCUCCUUAUGAAACGUCCGCUAGACUCACAGGAGAAAAAGAAAAAUCAAAGCAGCGUGUGUGGAGGGGAGAGACUAGGGAGAGAGCAAGACGAGAGAGAGGUACAGGGAGAAGAGAGGGGGUGAGAGAGAGAGAGAGAGACCAACUGAAUCUGGCUCCACCAAUGGGAUCGGUGACUGCACAGCGUCAGGUGAUAAAAGAAGCUCUGUCCCUGCUCUCUCCCUGGAGCUGGGUGGGAGGAGGAAAGGGCAGGGGGGGGGGGUCUCCCAGGGAACAGAACAGAGUUGCUUUUGAUGAUGACUGAUACCCUUUCCCCCAUCCUUCCUGGAAAAAAAAAAAGUUGCCCCUUCUGGGAAAUGUCUGCAGCCCCUAACUUCAGAAUGAUGCUCCCUAGGCAAAGGGGGUAAGGAAUACUCAGUCAAUCAACACUCACUAAGCACCUACUGUGUGCCAGGAACUGUACUAAGUGCUCGGGAUACCAAAAAGGCAAAAGAUGGUCCCUACCCUCAAAGAGUUUACAAUCUAAUGGAGAAGACAUUUAGCAAACAAAUAGGUACAAACAAGCUGUGUACAGGAUAAAUGGGAAAUAAUUAAGAGAAGGCACUGGAAUUAAGAAGCAAUGGGCCAAGAAGUCCCAGUGCAAGAUUUCUGAUUGGGGAAAAGGAGAAAAAGAGAAGAACUAGUAGGUUGGAGAUGGGAUCCUAUUUCAAGAGGCAGGUUAUCAAUAGAUACCUGGGUUCUAUCUUUAGCUUUGUUCUUGUCCUGGUCUUACAAUUUUAAAUCAAGGGGGAGCUCAGUUCCCUUCCCAGUAACUUAAAAGUUAGCAAAGCCUUCUGCAGAAAGGGGUGGGGUAGUGAUCUGUGCUUGGUUGACUAGCGUCAGCUAGAAGUUAAGAAUCUAUUAGGGAAAGGAGUGGGAGAAAGCAGUGGAGCCAGAAGGGUGUGGAAAAUACACAUGAAGGAAAAAGGAUGUCAGAGUUUGGGGAGAACAAGCAAUUAGUUAACUGUGCCCAUCCCUGUUAAAACUUUAUUGUCAGGAGAAGAAAAGCACAGGGUCAAUCUCAGGGACCACACAAAGCACACUGUCUUGUGCCCUGGACCUCAGAGCAUAUACUUCUGCAAGAAAAUAUUCUAUUUGCCAAGGAAUGAGGAUCCUGAGGUGACACUUGGGAGAAAAAAUGAUUUCGGGGAUUCUAAUCACACAACAAGCAUUGAUGGAGAAACUACUAUGUCACCUAAUACUUUGAGAGAUGCCAAAAGGGAAAAUAAUAAGAGAUAGUCACUGCCCUCACGAAACUAAUAACCUUGUUCCUAAGAUUAUAUAUGUGAAACAGCAAAUGAGAGACUAAACAUAAUGCACAAAAUCUGCCACCUGGAUAAUUAGUUCAACCUGUAUUCAGAGAACAGCAAGAUUGGUUCCAUUUAACUCAAUUCAAUAAGCAUUUGCUUACUGUGUACUAAGCACUAGGGAUGGGGUUGGGGAUUCUGUGUGCUGAAGUAUUGGGAAUGAGGAGUGGGGCUGGGAAGAACAUGGCCCCAGACACAAACUGGAUGGACCUGUGAUUUUAAUUGUACAGGGAACUCCCAAACAUGAAGCUACCUCUAUCAAUGAAAGCUAACAUCUGCUCCAUAGGGGGCACAGAGAGGUCAUUUGACCUGCUUGAGCCAGAUGAUGUCAGAACUGGAACUUGAACUCAGAUCUUUCUGACAUUCUGAUGUUCCUGAGUAAAUGCAAAGAAAUUUAGAGGGGUAGGAGAAGAGAUCAGAAAAGGUCUCCUAGUAAGAGUGAUACUUGAGUUGUAUUAGUGAUUAUGUAAAAUCGAGUGAGGAAGGAGACCUUUUCAGCUUGGCAUAGGCCUGGGGGUAGGAGAUAGGAAUGCUAAAUUGGCACACUUGGUUAAAACAAAGAUUGCAUGAAAGGAGGUAAUGCAUAAUCAGCCGGGCAAGACAGAUUGGAGCCAAACUGCAAAGAGCUUUAAAUACCAAAUUCAGUUUAUAUUUUAUCCUCGGACCCCCAAAGAUUUUUGUGGAGAAAGACUGACACUUUUUGUGUCAGUCAAGAUCUAACCUGUGCUUUAGAAAUAUCAUUUUGGCAGCUGCGUUGAGGAUGGAUUGAUGGAUUGGAGAAGGAAGAAGUUAGAUGCAGAGAAGACUGAUUCAGGCUAGAAUAAGCAGGGAAGGCCUGGGUAAGGAGAUGGGGUGUAUCAAGGAAGAAGCAUUGGGUUGAUGGAGUAGGAGUGAUAAUGGAAGGAAGUAUACUGGAAUAGAAAAGUAUAAUGGAAGGAAGUAUAAUGGAAUCUCCCCUGAAAGAGGGGAGACAGGUAGUAACUCAGUGAUGGGAAGCAAAGUUGUCAAUAGCAGGGUUGUGAAGGAGGAACAAGGAGAACUUUGGGCAAAAUACUUCAGGAUGCUGGUGCUGGGCUUUGGGAAUUGGCUGUGUCAGAAUGGGCAUUCCCAGAGGGCUACUUCCAAGGCUCAGGAGAGAAGGCAUUGUAAGAGGACAGGACAAGUAGGGGUGGGUAGAAAGGGAAGAAGAGUUCAUAUGCCCAAGACAAACAAGAGCCAGUCUUGGCUUCAAUGGGUGGAGAGCCCAAGCAAGUUUUGUCAGAUUCUGAACCACAGAAUGCAGUGGGGUAGAGCAAAGCUGGAUAAAUGACUCCCUUUGCCAAGUAACUAGGCCCCUCCUCUCACACACCUACAGUGAGAUGUCAAAACACAGAAGAUAAGCAAACUGAGCUUGUGGAUAGAGUCCAGGGUUAGACAUUAAGGAGACCUGGCUUUUGGUCCUGUUUUCUAUUACCAUUUGGGAUGGGCAAUAUGAGCCCCAGGAUUUGGUUGAGUUUCUUCCUCUGUAAGAGGGGAGGUCAGGCCCUGCUCCCUCCCUAGAUGCUAGGUAGGUGAUGCAUGGAAAUAUUUCUGGUUUGGAAUGGUGUUGAGCUCCAGGGAGUGAAUAAUAACUAAAUGUGAAUAAGAAUUAAUUGACUGAAUGCAUAUUUGUGGGCCUCUGAACUAAUAGCUGGAGGGAAUAGUAGAUGAAAGCAGAGGUGGCAGUGGUAGUUAGAUCUUCUAGAGGCUUCUAUUCCCACUUAUAUAACCUGUUCUCCUAUCUUUUCAAGGCCCCAACACUAUCCCUACAGAUUGUCUCUCUGAAAAGUAAGUGCUAUCAUCUCCCAUCCCAUCCUCCAUCCUGGAAACUUCUUUCUUUCUUUGCCUAUUUUUCCUCUUGCCUCAGAGGAUUAAAGAAUAUCUUUCUAUACCAAGGCUAACUUAUAUCAAGGACUCCAAUUCCCUCCACAUCUUUAAUGUACUUGUUUUCAAUCUUUCUCCCUCCUUCCCCAUCAUCAGCAGACAAGCUCAAACCCUCCCUAUCCUAAAAUAAAUAGUCCUUUCAGGGGCCCUGCUACCUGUGUGUGCUAUCAUCUUAACUUCUCUUUCCCCUUUGCUGCUAAAAUGAUGGAGAGAAUAAUUUACACUUAACCACACAUUUUGUCCCCUGCAAUCUGGCUUUUUAUCCUCAUGGAGCUGAUGGCCCCUUAAUUGUAAAAAUCAAAUGGCCUUUUCUCAGUUCUCAUCUUCCUUGCCUUUCCUGCAGGAUUUGCUACACUCUUGCUCACUUACACCUUCUUAAUGCUUUCUUAUCCUUCGCCUACUGUGACACUGUUCUCUACUGGUUCUCCUCCUACCUGUUUAAUCGCUCUUUCUUCAUCACCUUGGGUGGUUCCUUUCCUCCCACCCGGUAAGAGUGGGAAUUCAAUUCACAGAAUCAUAGUCAUAGAAUCACAGAAUUUCAGAACUGAAGGGACUUACUUCAGUGGUCAUCUAGUACUCUUUAAUCCAUUCCUAAACAAGAAUCAACCAUUAUGAUGUACUGGACAAAUCAAGACAAGACAACAAAGUCUAUUGAUUUAGUUUUAAGACUGGGUCUCCAUGUCUCACCCAGGCUAGAAAUGCAGAGGAUAUUCACAGGUCUGAUGCUCUACUGCUCCACACAGUAUUUUUGACUUACUCUGUUUCUGAUCUUGAUUAAUUUACCUCUCCUUAGACAAUUUGAUGGCUUCCCACUCCUGAGGGAUCACAAUAUUGAUCCCAAACAGUACAGGUGCCUGAUUGUCUUAAGCCAUCAAAGCCCAGAAUUCUCAAGCUCAAGAGACCUGCCAAUUUUAGCCUAUCUAGAAGAAGGGAUUGUAGGCAGGUGCCACCUUACUCAGUGGCCAGGGAGCCUUAGAGUGCAAUAGCAAGGUGGGUGGUAUGGUCAAUGUAUCUAGUAGAGGGAUCAUGAGCAGAGCAGAUAAGAUCUGCUGAACUUUCUCCUUAUUGAAGGAUUAUAUCUGGUAAAUUUCUGUUCAUUGAAGAGACAUGACUAGCCACAUCCUUGCAGCUAGGGCCUAGAAGAAGCCCAUGCCCAUAACAUUUGGGAAGAGAAGAUCCUGGUAGGAUCUAAGUAAGGCAGUCUCAGGCAUUGAAGAAGGGGUCCAGGUUGACCUAGUUGGCUCCCACCCUCCAUAACCUGAUUGUAUCCAGCCUUUAUCUGAAGAGGUCCAAUAAGGGGAAAACCAACCCUCCCCAGGCAGCCUAUUCUCCCUUUGGAUAGUCCUAAGUCUAAGAAUCUAAGGAAGUUUUUCCUUAAUGCAAACCUAACUCUUCCUCUUUGUAAUUUCUAUUCAUUGCUCCCAUUUCAUCCAAACAGACCAAAUCCAAUUGGCUAGUCCUUCAAGAUAGAAAUCUUGUCUACCUGCCACCCCCCACUAUCAAACUUCUCUUCUUCAGUCUAAACAUCCCCAGAUCCUUUCAUCAAUACUCAUAUGUCACCAGCUUGAGUCCUUCAGUCCUGCAACUUGCCCUUCUCUGGAAAUCCCUGGCUUAUUACCUUUGUUCUUAAAUUGUGGUUCCUGGAAUUGACCUGAUUCCUCCCAAUCUGGCCCAACUAGAGCAGAGUAUAGUAUGAAGAUGACCUUUGUAUUCCUGGAAAUUAUGCCUCUCUUGAUGUGGGGCCUAGAUUACCUUAGUUUUUUUGAUUCUCACAUAAUAUUGUCAACUAAAACACCAGGGGCUUUUUUUCAUUUAUUUUUUAAUUUUAAUAACAAAUUUCCACAUAAGCUUUCUGAGGUUAUAUGAUCCAAAUUGUCUCCCUCCCUUCUCCCUCCCCUCCCAGAGCAGGAAAACAAUUCAAUCUGGGUUUCCAGGCUUUUUUUUUUUUUCAUACAAACAGCUAUGAUGUACUUUUCAACUUAAAUUUGUAAAGACAAUUUCUUGAGGCUUUUUGAAGACAAUUUCUGGAAGUAAGGCUUUAGACUAAUCCUAUUACAUUUCAUCUUAUUCUAUUCAGCCCUGUGUUCUAGCCUGUCAAGAUCCUUUGGGAUCCUGAUUCAAUCAGUGUGUCAGUUAUCCCUCCUAGAUUGGCAUCACCUGAUAAAUAUGCUAUCUGUGUUUGUAUUCAAGACAUUGACUAAAGUGUUAAAUGGUAUGGAGCCAAGCACAGACUCUUGGGACACUCCACUGGAGACUUCUUUCCAAGCUGAAUAUUGUAUUAUUAAUGACUACUCUUUGAGACAAACCAUUCAAUCAGUUACAAAUCCAACUAAUUGUACUAUCACAUAGCUUACAUUCCUCCUUUUUUUCCUCACAAACACAGCAUCAACUUUUUAGUCAAAUAUUUUACAAAGUUCUAAAUUAUACUCAUACCUUAUACCUUUCCCUUAGCUUCCAGUUUUGGUACCUUGACCCAAAAUUAAACAUUUGAUCUAAAAAUAUUCAAGAAUCACCUAUUAUGUGCUUAAUGUAUUAGGUUUUGGAAAUAAGUCAAAAAUGAAACAGUAUCUCACCUCAAGGAGUUUACACUGUAUUGGGAGAAUACAUUAUGUACAUAGAUAAGUACAAACUUGCUUUGUUUUUUUAACCCUUUUACCUUCUAUCUUAGAAUUGAUACCAAGUAUCAGUUCCAAAGCAGAAGAGAGGUAAGGGCUUGGCAAUAAGGGUUAAGUGACUUGCCCGGGGUCACACAGCUCUCUAUCCACUGAGCCACCUAGCUGCUCCAUGACAGGUAUUUUUUGAUACAGAGAAUACUAACAGCUAGGUUUAUCAGGGAAAUAUUCUUGAAGGAGAUGGAGCCUGAACUAUGCCUUAAAGAAAGCUGGGCAUUCUUAUAAGCAAAGAUGAGUGGAGGUAGUCCCUUUAACUGUACAAAGGAAUGGACAUAAAGGUGAAACGAUAAAUUGGAAGAAUGGCUAGUAGACCUGUUUGCCUGGAAAGUAGUGUAUAUUGAAAGGGAAUAAUAUGAAAUAUUUCUGGAGGAGGUAGUUAGGAUCUAGGUCAUAGAGAGCUUUAAAAGCUAAGGAGAUUGUAUUUUAUCCUAGAGUAGAGCUUCUUUUAGCCUCUUUUGCCUCAUGGACCCCUUUGGUAAUCUGAUGAACCCUUCUUAGAAUAAUGUUGUUAAAUGUUUAAAAUAUACAAGAUUACAAAAGAAAUAUAUUAUACCAAAGCAAGAGGAAUCAUUUUCCCAUCCAAAUGUUUGGGAGUCUAUCCACAGGUCCCUUGGAAUCUGUGGACUCUGAUAGAGAGCCCGUGUCUUAGAGACUCUAUGUAGUAACUGAAGAUUUUUGAGUGGUGUCAUGUUCAGACUUGUGUUUUAGUAGCAUUCAUUUGGCAGCUAGCUAUGUGGAGGAUGGAUUAGAGAGGUGAAAGACUGGAAGCAAUAUGACCAAUUAGAAGGCUAUCAGAAUAGCCCAGGCAAAUAGUAAUAAGGGCCUAAGAUAGGGUGGUGCCUGUGUGAAGAGAGUGAAGGUGACAGAGACCAAAUGUCAAUGAUAAAAUAAUCAAGACUCUGUAACUGCUAGGAUAUGGUAGCUGAGGAAGAGAGAAUAACAACGGGGAAGAUUUAUGUAGGACUUUCUAUCCAUUCUCAUCUGAUUCUCACAACCUUGUGAAGUAUGCCCUUAAUUCUAAUGCCUACAAAUGCCUUUUAAUUAUUUCCUAUUUGCCCAAUAUAUAGCUUGUUUGUACAGAUUUGUAGGCUUGUUUCACACUCUCCCUUCCCCAUUAGAUUGUGAGCUUCUUCAGGGCAGGGACUGUCUUUUGCCUCUCUUAGUAUCUCCAAAACUUAGCACAGUACCUUGUUCAUGGUAGGCACCAAUACAUGUUUAUUAACAGACUCACGGUUACUAUUUUUCUUCAUUUUAAAAAUGAGGAAACUGAGACUGAGGUGCCCAGAAUUACAUAGCUAUUAUAUCUUGUCUUUGAGUCUUUCUAUCUUCAAGUGUAGAACUUCAUUCAUUAUACCACCUAGCUCUCUAUCAAAGAUGACUGAGUUUGGAGCAGCUGGGUAGCACAGAGAAUAGAGUACCAGGCCUAGAAUCAGAAGAACCUAGGUUCAAAUCUGGCUUCAGGUAAUUCUUAGCUGUGUGACCCUGGGCAAGUCACUUAACUCCAAUUGCUUAGCCCUUACCAUUUUUCUGUCUUGGAACUUAUCCUUAAUAUCAAUUCUAAGAGAGAACAUAAGAGUUAAAAAAAAAAAGAUUGCAAACCUAAGAGUCUAGAGAGAGGGGAUGCUCUGCUAUGCUGCUGCUAUAGUUAUAAGACAAAGAGAUCUGCAGUGGAGCUUGUUAACAAUAGAAUGGAGGUUCCAAAGAGUAUAUCAGAAAAGGGGAGGGCAAAGGAAGUUAUGGACUGUUGACAGGGCAUGGCUGGGAUAGAUGAGAAUGAGGGUUCAGAAAGAAAAACAAAGAUUCUGCCUCACAAGAAUAAGGUACACAAAAGCUAGAAAUUUGUCCAUGAUAGGAAAAAGGAAGAAUCAGUUGAUCUUAUUUUUGAGGGAUGGGGCAGUGGCAGGAAUGUUGGCUUCUUUGACUCUAUGUUCCAAGUACAGUGGACCUGGGGCAAAGAAAUCAAGAGACAUCUAAUGAACAGCAAAUUUCUGUCCAUUCUGUCUCUAUAAUAUCUCUUCAGUCUGCCCCUUCUUCAUUCACGUUAGCACUUCCUUAGUUCACAGUCUCCUCUAAACUGGGAAUUAACCUACCAACAUGCAUAGGACUUAAAUAAGUACAACUAGAAAAUGAUUCUCCCAGAAAUAAAGGAAGACUGAAAUAAAUGGAGACGCAUUUAAUGUCAAUAGCUGGGUCAUACCAAUAUGGUGAAAAUGAUGCUGUUGUUCAAAUUAUUUUAUAGAGUUAAUGCUAUAUUCACCAAAUUACCAAAGAAGUACUUUAUAGAAUUUGGCAAAAUAAUGCUAGAAUUCAUAAGAAGUAAUACAGGUCAUUAAUAUGUGGGAAUAUGUAUGAUACAAAUAUAUGAAAAAGGAAAUAAAGUUAUAAAAAUGAAAAAGUAUCAGAACUUGUUAUGAUAUAAUAAUUCAAAUUAUCUGAUUAUGACUAAAAAUGUUUCUUCCAUAGAAAGCACUUAAUAAAUGCUUGUUGCUAAAUAAAUCACCCACCUUUCCUAGAUACAGAUAGGAAAUGAAUUAUUUCUUUUUUAAACCCUUCUUAUCUUCUGUCUUAGAAUUGAUACAAGUAUUGAUUCCAAGGCAGAAAUGUAAGCCGUAAGGAUUAGACAAUUUGGCUUAAGUGACUUGCCUAGAAUCACAUAGCUAGAAAGAGUCUGAGGCCACAUUUGAACCCAGAUCCUUCUAAAUCCAGAACUGGCACAUAUAUCCACUGUGCUACCUAGCUGCCCCUAUGACUACGUUCCCCAUGACUUGUCUCAUAGUCUUUCAACAGUGUAAUAACUCUUUUUGUUCUAUAACCAGUACAGUUUAAUCACUAUGGUGCCUCUCUCCCAGGACCUUCAUUUUCACUCAGUCUUUACAAGGUAAUAACCAGACUUUGUGGAGAAUGAGCUGCAAAUCAAGACUAAACUGUCCUCUGCUGAGCUAUCACCACCAAGCUACACACACACACACACACACUUGCCUCCAGCCCAACUUCAACUAGUUAUGACUGCCUCAAAUCCAUCAAAUUGGAAAAUAUGAUAAAAUAUGGGGGGGGGAAUUCAUCUUGGCAGGAAUGUGGGAAAAGAAGCACACUAACUUCUUAUCAGUGGAGCUGUGAAUUAGGCCAAUAUUUUUGGAAAAUAAUCUGGAAUUAUGAAAGAAAAAUAACAAAAUUAUUCAUAUUACGUAUCCCAGAAAUUAUAUUAUUGGAUUUACAUUCCAAGGAGUUCACAAAAUCAUCAUUGAAUUAUAAAUUUAAAGCCAGAAGGAACUUUGGGGUCAUCUAGGAUAAAUGAAGAAAAUGAGGCUGGGAAAUGUCUUGCCUGGUUAUUGCCCAUCAUUGUCAGAUUCUUAGAUUCCUUUUCCUUGAUAUUUCAGACUAGUUCUCCCCCCCCCCUUACCUUCUGUCUUAGAAUUGAUAUUCAGUAUGGGUUCCAAGGCAGAAGAGUAUAAAGGCUAGGGAAUGGGGGUUAAGUGACUUGCCCAGGGUCUCACAGCUAGGAAGUGUCUGAGGCCAAAUUUGAACUCAGGCCCUCCCACUUCAGGCCUGGCGCUCAAUCCACUGAGUCAUCUGUCGCCAUCAUCUCUUCUAAGGUAUUAAUUAUUCUUGCCAUUCUUUCCUCCUUAGCUAUUCCAUUGUGUAACUCUUAUUUAGUUUCUCCCAGGUAUUCUUAUAAUCCUUGGUCAGGACAUUUUUUUUUCUCUGAGCCCCUACUUGGAUUUGUGAAGUUAUUCUCUUUUUGGAAUUAAUCUAUGAGCAUCUCUCAAUCCAAAGUAUUGCUUCAGUGUGUUGGGCAUUUUCUCCAGCUUACUCAUAUUACCAACCACAGCACUAGAACAGAGACGUGUUUGGGUCAGAUUCUGUUCCUAAUCUCUGGAAGACGGAGGUUAAAACCCACUUUCUGCAGGAAUCAUCUGGCCUUCUUUCCUGUCAUACAGGACUGGAGAUGCCUAGACACUGCUCAGGGGCCCUUGUUGCAGGUCAGAGCUGCCUUGCUCUUAAAACUGGGCUGCUUAGUUAGCAUUGUGCUUUUCACUUACCCUGGCUUGUCUCCAUUCGAGGCUUCAGCAGGAUCCUGGCAGUCCUAUGCAGUCUUGGACUGAAUAAGGGAAUUUGUAGCGGAUUUUCUGGGUUAUUUUAUUAUUGUUCAUUCCAGUUCAUUUUUAGAGAUUUCCUGGGGUACUUGUGAAGGAUUUGAUCCCUCCUAGGUCCUAACACACCACCAUCUUCCCACAAUCCUCUUUACCUGCUUAUUGACAAUAAGCAAGGUCUGUCUAUGUGAAAAUGUUUACAGUGCUAGAAGUGACAUAAAUGUUGGCAAACACUCGUACUUACCAAGCAGAAAAAAAUGUCAGCCGAAGGCAGCUCUAGUUUAGAAUACAAACUCAUAAGAUCUUACAGAUGAAAGCAUAGAUGGAGUCCUUCUUAAUAACUAAUAUGUAUUUUAAGUAACACUUUUAAGGUUUGCAAAGCACUUUACAUAUAUUCUCUCAUUUUAUUGCCACAUCAACCCUGGGAGGUAGUUGCAAUUAUUAUUCUAAUUUUAAAAGAUAAAAUAGAGAAGCCAUAUAGGGUAAAACCAAUGUAAUGAAGAGUUGGUGUAAUCAACUGAGCAGUCAUCCCAAGGACAUUUGAUUUUUUUAAAAUUUUAUUUAACUAAUUAAUUUAGAAUAUUUUUCCAUAGUUCCAUGAUUCCUGUUCUUUCUCCCCCCUCCCCCCACAUCCCCUCCUAUAGCUGACACACAAUUCCACUGGGUUUUACAUGUGUCAUUGAUCAAGACCUAUUUCCAUAUUAUUGAAAUUUGCACUAGGGUGAUUAUUUAGAGUCUAUAUCCCCAAUCAUAUCCCCAUUGACCCAUGUGAUCAAGCAGUUGCUUUUCUUCGGUUUCUACUUCCACAGUUCUUUCUCUGGAUAUGAAUAGAGUUCUUUCCCAUAAGUCCCUCAGAAUUGUCCAAGGGCAUUUGAAAGUGAAAAUGGAAGUACAUCAGAAAGGGGAAAAUGGAAAAGAUCCGCAAAGAUUUCCAUAACAAACUUCUUUUUAAACCAAAAACAGACUCCACCACACUUGGAUUCUAACGUCAUGACCCAAUAUGUGUUACAGAGGAGGUAGCACUGGAGCUAAAGAGAACAAAGAUGGGGAAAGUCGCUGUAUAAAAACCUAGAGUACAUACAGGAUAUUCAUACAAGAGGUGACACAUUUCUAACUUUUCUAUUUGCCUCUCCAAGGAGAACCAAUGAGCUAUUUUCCCAUUUAAUUGCCAAUUACCUCUUUCAUCUUAUCUUAGUGUCAUUGACACUGUCAAGAUUAGAAAAAUUAAUUUCCUUUGGUGUACAUCCUCAAUACAUAGCACAGUGCUGGGCAGAUCUGAUCAUGUAUUAUCACCUCUCUUCCCUUCCUCAAUAAACUCCAAUGGCUCCCUAUUGCUUCCAGGAUCAAAUAUGCAAAAUGCUAUUUGGCAUUCAAAGCCUUUUAUAAUCUCUCCUCCUCCGGCCUUUCCAGGCUUCUUACACCUUCUUCUCUGCCAGGGAUGCUUCCACAAACAAACUGUGAUUACAUUUUAAAAAAUCAUUUUAUGGAAGAAAUCCAAUGAAAAAAUCUCGUCAUAAGAAAAAAAUUAUUUAUGAUUGUCAUAAAAAUGUAAACAAAGCACUCCAUCCCUUGGCUCCAGGUGAUUUCUCUUGUCCCCUGUGCUUAAAAUACUUUCCCUCUACCACUCUGACUACAGACCUCCCUGGCUUCUUUUAAGUCUCCAUUAAGAUCCCGCCUUCUACACAAAGCCUUCCCCAUCCGCUCUUAAUUUCAUUGCCUUCCCUCUUUUAUUUAUCUCCCAUUUAUCCUAUAUAUUUAGUUUGCUUUGUACAAAUCUAUUUUGCAUACUGUAUUCCCCUUUAGACUGGAAGCUCCUUGAGGAUAGGGACUGUAUUUUGGCUCUUUUUGUAUCCACAGAGCUUAGCACAGACACAGUAGGGGCUUAAUAAAUCUUGAUUCAUUGACUGAAAUAGUUUACUAAAAGCUUAUUGUUUAGUUGAUAACCCCUCAUUAGUCAGAAUGCCAACAACUAAAUUAAAGUUUAUAGACUGGCUGAAAACUAGUUAAUUGCACUUUCUGCCUCCCUUUUCAUCAUACUCCAUCGUUACCAAAGGAGCAAAGGGGGACUACACAGAUCUAAGGGCCAUUUUGAAUUAAAAAAAAUUUUUUUUUAUAGAUUGUUAUGGUCAAAGAAGUCACCACCAAGUGGCCAACCUUCUGGUGAUGAGCCUUUUUAUACUUAAGUUAGUCCUCAGAAAACAUACUCUGUUGCAACUUAAACUAUAUUUAUAGCCUUUUCAGCAGGGUAGAGCCAGCCAGAAAUGGCACUGGGCUUGGAAAACUUUUGAGAAUUCGAUCACCUCCACAUUAUGAUGAAACACUGGAGUAGGACUUUGCUGAUUACCAUGCAGUAGUGAGAGCCCAUUCGAGAUUACAUAAUAAAUCUGUAGUGGACCCAGCAUUCAACCAGAAGCAUAAGAAAAGGAUUAGAGAAAGUAAAUGAUGGAGAAUAAUGAUGAUGAUCAUCAUCAGUGUUUAUGUAGUAGUUUAAAUUUUGCUAUGCAUUUUAUAUAUUAUCUCAUUUGAUACUCACAACAAUACUCUGAGAUAAAUGUUAUUAUUAGUCUCAUUUUAAGGAUGAAGAAACUAAGAUUGAGAGGUUACAUGACUUGCCCAGGGUCAGAAUGCUAGCAAACUAAGACUAGAUUUGAACUGAAGUUUUCCUGAUUUCAAGUCCAGCAUUCCACCCUCUAUGACAUACUGCCUGGGUACAAUGGGAGCAAUAUCCUAACCUACCAUCACUGGGUAAAUUAGACUAGUUUCUUUCUUAAGUGAUAUUGAAACAUCAUUUUGAAUGGCUAAUGGGACUAAAGGUGCAGGUUAUUGACAUCAUUUCCAGCUUUCCUGAGAACAUAUAAAACUGGCAUGUUUGGGGGCUCCAACUUCACUCUGAAACUUGGUUGUCCAGAGGAUGAUUAGGGUUACCCUCCCUCCUAACUCCUCUUUUUCUAGCUCUCUUAUUAAUAUCAAGCUAUCAAGGGUACCACUGUCCCCAGGUGUCAUCCUCAACUCCUCACGCUCUCACUUGUAAUAGCUAACCAAUUAUCAAGUCCUCUCUUUUCUACCUUCACACAAUCUCAUGUUUUUUUUUUCCCCUUCUCUUUCUUCUAACAUUGAUAAAACCCUGGUGCAGAUCCUAAAUAGUCUUGGACUAUUUAGUUCCUUCUUAGUUUGAGAUGCCAAUCGUAUCUCCAUUUUAAAAUGUCUAAUAGACAAAACUAAAUACAAUAGCUGGCUGGUUGGUCUUCUAGCUGUAUAUUCUCUCCCCAUUUCAGUCCAUCCUCCAUUCAGCUGUCAAACUGAAUUCCCUAAAGCCCACCUCAGUCCUGUCACCCCAGUAUUCAGAAAACUCCAGUGGUUCCCUAUUGCCUCUAGGAUAAAAUCCUUUGUUUGGAUUUAAAAGCCCUUCAUAACAUGACCUUUUCCUACCUUUCCAGUCUUCUUAUACUUUACUACCCUUUAUGUACUUGGUAAGCCAGUGAUAUUGGCUUUCUUGUUAUUCUUCAAACUGGAUAGACCAUUUCUGAACUACAGGCAUUUUCACCAGUUAUCCUCCAUGUCUCAAACACUCUACUUCCUUCCUCACUUCCCUGAUUUCAUUCAAGCUCUCAUAUAAAUUCCUAUCUUCAGAAAGAAGAAUUUCCUGACUCACUCUCUCUCUCUCUCUCUUUCCCUCUCCCCUCACCCUUUACCUUCUGUAUUGAUUCCAGGGCAGAAGAGUGGUAAGGGCUAGGCAUUGGGGGUUAAGUGACUUGCCCAGGGUUACACAUCUAGGAAGUAUCUGAGGUCAAAUUUGAACUCAGGACCUCCUGUUUCUAGACCUCUAUCUACUAAGCCACCUAGCUACCCCUUCCCACUUUCUCCAUAAUUUUAUCAAUUCACAUGGGCAUUUCCAUUCCUAAUCAUUCUAAGUUCUUGUCAUACAUUCCCAAUGGCCUAUUAGAUAUUUCAAAAUGAAUAUAACCAUAGGUACCUCAAACUCAACAUGUCCAAAGCAAAACUCGACUUUCUUCUGAACUUCUCUUUUUCUCUUCUUCCAGUUAACCAGGUUUACAACUUCAGUAUCAUUCAAGUCUCUUCACCAAACAUGUCAAAAUUUUGCCAUUUCUAACUCUAUAACACCUCUCAAAUCCAUCUCUUCUCUCUCACAGGCAACUACAACCUUAGUUCAGGUCCAAAUCACCUCUCAAAGCAGCAGUCAGAUAGAUAGAUGAAGAAUCGAGAGAGCAGUACCUGGAAACUCAAAUAGGAAAAAAUUAUCUAGGAGGAGAGAGUGGUUAACCAAACAACAAGCAAUCAUUAAAUACCUGCCAUGUGCUAGGCAUCUUGUCGGAUGCUGGAGAUAUAAAGACAAAAAUUAUAUGGUCCCUACCCUCAAAUAGAAGAUGACCUUCAUUUGGAAAAUGGUUAGAUAAAUUGUGGUACAUUAAUGAAAUGGAAUAUUAUUGUUACAAAAAAUGAAUAUGAAAACAGAAAAGCAUGAAAAUAUAUGAGCUAACACAAUGCAGAUGUAAGUAAAGUCAGAAAAACAAUUCAUACAAAGAUGUAAAUUGUGUAAAUGGAAAGACCAACCAACACAAUACGACCAAGACUGAAUGUGGCAACAUUUUAUAAAACUUGGCCCCAAAGAAGAGCUAUCAGAAGGCCCCUCUCCAAACUUCUUUGUAGAGGUAGGGAUCCACAGAAGUGGGCUGUUGAAUAUAAUGUCAGGUUUGGGUUUUUUUCAAUAGUUUUGCUGAAAAAAUUUUUUCUUCCUUUGUAAAGAAAAAAUCUUUGCUAUAAAGGAUGACUUUUUUUGGAGAGAAAGGCAAUUUAAAAACUAAAGAUUAAUUUAAUUUUUUAAAAAAGAUCAUUGGUGAUUUUGGAGAGAGUAGUUUUCAACUGAGUGAUGAGAUAAAUUGUAGACAGCUAAAAAGUGAGAGGAGAGAAAAUGGAGGCAAGUUUUUUCUAGGAGCUUGGUUGUGAAAAGAGAGAAGAUACAGAUGAUAGCUUUAGGAGAUGGUGGCAUCUAGUGACAGGUUUUUAAGUGAGAGAAAUUUAAGCAGCAGGGAAGGAGCCAGUAGAUAGAGAUUUAAUAUGAGAAAGAGAAGAAAUGAUAGUGGAGACAAUCUUCUAGAAAAGACUAGAGAGGGAUGAAAUUAAGAGUCCAUGGAGAGAGGUUGGCCUUGCCAAGGAAAAAGGACACCUCUGAAUUAAAGAAGAGAGAUAUAUUAUCUAGGAAUUGAGGAGAAGAGGGCAUUUACAGUGAAAGAGGUCUAUUUUCUCAUAUUAAAUUUCAACUAUCAGAGUGAAGAUGCAUGGGAUGAUGAAUGGUUUCAGUACAAGGUGAGAAGAGGAACCAAAGGCAAAAAAGAUAUUGGGUAUAUAAGCCUAAUUAAUACUUGGCUACUGAUAGAAUUUCAUGUUCAUAAAAAGUGUUUGCCACUGUCACGAAGGGAGAAGGCCUACCCUUUAGAUGGCAAGAUUCUCUGAGCCUUCCUGUUCUGGAAUGACACUGCCAAUUCCACCAGCCCUGAAAAUGCAGAAAAUCCUAAAUGAUAUCUGUAGUCACUUGCAAGAUUUUACCCUAAUUAUUCAUAUAGUAAAAACUAUGAACCCUAUAAAUAGAUAAGAUCUGGAACUGAAAAGGAGAAAAGCAUGAAUUGCCUUUGAGAAAUUAGAUAUAUAUAGAAGUAUAUUUUACAUGACAAUUAAAAAAACAAAAUUAAAAAGAAAUUAUAUAAUUCUUUUUAAAAAACCUUUACCUUCUAUCGUAAAAUUAAUACUAAGUAGUGAUUCCAACACAGAAAAACAGUAAGGACUAGGCAAGUAUGGUUACGUGACUCGCCCAGGGUCAUACAGCUAGAAUGUUUCUGAAGUCAAAUUUGAACUCGGCACCUCUAGUCUCAAGACCUGGCUUUCUGUCUACUGAGCCCCCUAAAUUCUUUUCUGCAAACUAUGGUCCAGGGAGCCCUCUUUCCUAGGGGGCUCUAGCUCUAAGUCCACAUGGAUUUAGAUGCAGUGUAGGAGCACCUAAUCCCAAAAAAGGAGCUUGAACUUUCUUUUUCUCUGUUGGCUUGUUGCCCCUACCUGAAAUUAAGUCAGAAGGAAUCUCAAAAAAAAAAAAAACUCAGAUAUAGCCAAAAUGGGUAUAGUGUAGAUAUGGCAUUUUAUUCCAACCCUUGUUCUCUGUCCUGACUCUCCUCCUCACUGGCAGAUUUGGGAACCCCAUAUUAGGGAAACAACCAUGCUGAUAUACUUCAUACAAUCUCCUGUCAGGAAUCUAGGGAUAAUCCUUUCAUAGGGUGGUAGGCUACAUUCUUCUUGCUCACUGUCAUAGCUCCUGAGCUCCUACUGAUAUACUUUUUUUUAUUUAUGGAAAAUCAAUUCCAAGACACCAUUCUCUCUCUUUUUUUAACUCCAUAUCUUUUAGUCAGUAAAGCAAAAUGCAAACAAGAAAUUUAUAUAAGUAAAAGAAAGUUAUAUAAUUUAUGCAAAGUUUUAACACUUUUUUAGCAUUCUUUUUAUUUUGAGUUCCAAAUUCUGUCCCAUUCUCCCUCCCCAACCUUAUAAAAAUUUUAUUUUAUAAAAUUUAUAGAAAAUUCUUUAAAUUAAUCUAAAUUUCAUUAAUUUCAUUAAAUAAUUGACAGACUAGUUUACAAAAUUCUUUAAAUUAAAAUUUAAUGUAAGGAAUAAAAUUAAUUGAAUAGCUCAUUAAGUGUUAAUUAAUAAUUUAACAUAGAUUUAUAAAUCAUAAGGCAAAACAAUAAUACUCGUAAUAUUUAUUCAUCAGUAAGCAAAAACAGAAAUAAUCCUAACAUUUGCUCAGUGGAAUAUGGCAAGAAUAAUCACAAUAUGACAAUAUUCCCAUACACCUGGGUUACCUUUUACAUAUACUUGUGAAGGAGACUGAGCAUACAUGCACUUAAAGAAACUUAGCAGGAAGACACAUGAGUGGGGAAACCCUUGACUGCAGAGCGACUCACAACUCUCGUCUGAAGGCCUUCAUGUUAUUGGUCCUUUUAGGAAAAAUCUGCAUCGUAGGACACUGCUUCUCUGUUAGCUGCUCCCUUGUAGGUCCUCACCUCUCCUUGCCAUACAAAACUAUUUCUCUUUUGUUCUUGAACACUUGAAACAGUGAUGAGCUCGUUUUGCUCCUAGAAGCCAACAAAAGCGCACUAAGAAAAGCGUUAAUGCUUUCAGUGACAAACAUUUCCCUUAAGCUGGAGAACUGGCAAGCUCCUCUUGCUAAAUCUGCAAAUAGCAGGGGAUCCCUCUUUGUCCAAUCAGCUUUAAGCCUCUUCUCAUGGCAGAGCGCACCUCGGAACAGGGAUGCAACGUCUAUCUUUUUUUCCCCCAUUUCCACCUCUUAAACCAGAAAGGGCAGCAGAGGGCAAUGCAGGCAUUCCUGAGAGGUUCCUCUCUCUCAGCUGCUCAAGACACUCAAUGGCUCUUCACACUGUGGCAAGAUUCAUCUCUUAUCCAAUGAGCUUGCAGCAGCAGGAGCUCUAGCUUUCCUCCAAAUUAAUCAACAAAGCAACGAUUCUCUUCCAAUCAGAAAAUGCCCAGCAAAGAAGCAGAGGGGUAAACGAUCUCAGCUGGAGUCCUCCUUCUUAAUCUGUCCUAUUGCGUCUUCUCAAAGCUUGUCCUCCUGCUGGCUUCUCAACAGCCUUUAAUGCCUCAAAUCAGAGCCUGUUGGUGGUCCGUGAAUGAUCUUUUGUCUUAUAAGAUAAAACUCCAGAAAUCCUUCAUUCUUUCAGCUCUGAAUCCAACAUUCCUCACGUAAUCUCCCCGGAGUUUCCAGUUUCCAGCUUUGUAAUUUUGUCAGUUACAAAUUUCAAAACUCUAAAAACAAUCCAAUGCAAACGAGCUGAUGGACCACAAUCUCCUGCGGCCAUUACACCCUCAGUUCUUUACUCAACCUUUAAAUAGCUGUUUUCAUCUGUCAACAUGGAAUUUAGGAAUCCCAAACUUGUGGCCUAGUGGGAUCUGAUGAACCCCAAGUUUCAGGACUAGCUUAUAGGCUGGAGACCCCAAAGUUUGUACUUAUUCCCUGUUCCCAUGGGAAUCUACCCUGAGGGUCUCCCACUCAGUCUGAAACUGCUAGCCUGGGAUUCCCUUCUGGAGGCAGCUAGAUUGAGAGCCAGGCCUAGAGACAAGAGGCUCCUUUUCUUAAAAGGAAGCAUUUAGGUCAUAAGGAAAACCUGGCAAAAUAUCAGUGCCAAAAGGGGGGAGGCCUUGCACAUAAAUAAGAGAUUCUAAGCAGCAUUUUUAAUAAACAAGGUUCUGACAGAACACUGAAUUGCUCCCCAGUACUAGUAAAGUUUAUACAGUUUGGAGCUUCAAAUCAAGAAACAAUGAGAUUAGAGAAAGCCUUUGUGCCUAGGAAUACUAAUGAAAUCACCUUUAGACUAGGCCUAAAUUAAGUGGUAAAGGAGUCCUCAUUGCCAAUGAACAAAUACUCAGUAAAAUAAAAUGUGUACCCAAAACUAAUUUAAGGCUACAACUCAGUCCAAUCAGGAGAAUUAUUUUAACAAAAAUUUUUAUCUACAGACUUUACAUUAGCUGACUCAGUUGCAACAUUAUUUUUUUUUCAUACUAGGUAGUAGUUAAUAGAAGUAAAAAGUCUUAAAUUGUUUAAGUGCAUGGUUAUGGUAGUUAAGUGAUUAAAGGUGAAUGAAAACAGUUUCAAAAUCCCUAGCAUCUUAAUCUCCCCAAAGGGGUGUGUAUGAGGUGUGUGAAAGGUUUUAAAAUUGAGGAAAAUUAGAAGAAUUUUAAUCUUGAGAAUUUUGGAGUUUAUUUCAGUAUUGAAACUUAAAUUUGAAUUUAAAAAUAGUUUUGAAGCUGAAAUUGCCAUGCAGUCAUUUUAAUGUGGUUUUGGAUUUUGGGGUGAUAGAAUAUUUAGUUAGAAGUUUACUUGGUGCUGUAAACCUCAAAUUUCCUUAGACUUAUAAUUGUUGAAAAUUUCACCAUUGGGAUAUUUCAUACUUGGAAAAUUUCUUACUGAUAGUCUAUUGGAAUGGGAACCCCAUUGGCAUGGGAGGUUCUUUCUCUUCCCUUCUUAAGAUUACUUUAGGACAGAGACCCUUUGCUGAACAAUGGAAAGGACUUUGAUCUAUGCUUAAGCAUAGAACAGGAAUUUCUUUGAGUCUUGAUUGAUUUUAGAAUUGAUACAAUGGAGAUACUUGGAAUAAAUCUCCACCCUAUUCAGUCCUAAUAGGAUUGAGUAAGGGCUGCAGCCUAGAUCAAAUUUUAAUUAUUCCAAUCUCUACCAUACUCAAGUUAACAGGAUUUAGAAAGGGCUGUAGCAAAGGAGUAUAGAUUUAAUCAUUUGAAAAUAUGACCUUCAACAGACAUGUGCAAAAGCCAGAAACCUCUGGGCGGUCCUGGGUUAAGCGAGAGCCUCCAUUGACAGGGAAAUUGAUGAAGAGUGAUUGGUAGAUGUGAGGACUGAGGGGAGGCAACUUGGAUGGUGUCCUUAAAGAUAGGAGGGUCUGGAGAGGAGAGGAUGGAGUUUUUUGGUCGGUGUGGUUCCUGGGCUCUGAGGAAGCUUGCUCUGAAGGAAGCUGAAGGUGGGGGCCUCUGAGACUGUUUCUCCAUUUUGGACACGUGAGUGAAAGGGACUGAUCUCUUUUCUUUGCCCCAGCUAUCUAAGGGCUUGGGCCUUUUGGCCCAGCCUAAACAGAAGGGGUAUUUAAGCCCUAUUCCCUUCUCUCCCCUUUCUCUCUCUAUAUAUAUCUCUAAUUCCUUUCUUGCUCCUAUUGUAAUUAAACUCCAAAAAAGGCUGACGGCUGACUUGAGUUUUUCAUUUAGGAAUUACAUAGCUGAUUCCUUGGCGACCUUAAAUUAAUAUAUAUCAGUCUUUUAAAGUGAUUCCCUUGUAACAUUGUGGCUGACCACACGGGAGUCUAAAGAAUCCUCUCAAUAAAACUUUUUCCUUGCCUUUUUACUAUACUGUUUCACCACUUAGUCCUUUUUUUUAAAAAAAAAAAAAAACUUGGCUUAAAGACACAGCUGCUAGAACACGUGAGUAUAAAAAACUUUUUCUCUUUUCUCCUUAAGUUAAAUUGGAAUCAGCAGUUUUUUCUUUUUCUUCCCUUUAAUCUUAAGGGACAGCUGGGUAGCUCAGCGGAUUGAGAGCCAGCCCUAGAGGCAGAAGGUCCUGGGUUCAAAUCGGACCUCAGAUACUUCCCAGCUGUGUGACUCUGAUAGACAGAAAACAGCUGUUUUUAAAUCUCAGCAACAGGACUCUAAAGUCCUGGCUGGAAGAACUGUUUCUAAAUAUCCUUUCCCUUAAGGAACAACUUCCUGGAUUAAAAAAAAAAAAAACCCUGUGGAAAGUUUGUUGCUUUGCCCUGCUCCCCACCUGUUUUGUGAAAUUACAAAAUAUACAUAUAAAAAUGAGUACUACAUUCUUUGACAAUUAUAUGGCAGCUGAAGAAGUAGGGGCAUUGAGGAAUGAAGGAUACCUCCAAAUUUUUAUAUUAAUAGGUACUGUCAUUUUUGUACUCCUCAAUACUAUAUUUAGAGAUGAAAAAAUAAAAAAUAUUGAGGAUAAAAUAAAACAAAAUGAGGAUAAAAUAAAACAAAA
Non-coding RNA from Monodelphis domestica (gray short-tailed opossum), 27362 nucleotides. NCBI's taxonomy places the organism in Eukaryota, Metazoa, Chordata, Mammalia, Didelphimorphia, Didelphidae. The record is from RefSeq and is a predicted model, not a curated record.